RNAcentral lists this ribosomal RNA (466 nucleotides) under uncultured bacterium. Its description in RNAcentral is "partial 16S ribosomal RNA". It matches the Rfam family "Bacterial small subunit ribosomal RNA", at positions 28 to 507 of the family's 1533-position model. The record is from RNAcentral.
GACGAACGCUGGCGGCGCGCCUAACACAUGCGAGUCGAACGAGCGAGAGAGAGCUUGCUUUCUCGAGCGAGUGGCGAACGGGUGAGUAACGCGUGAGGAACCUGCCUCAAAGAGGGGGACAACAGUUGGAAACGACUGCUAAUACCGCAUAAGCCCACGGCUCGGCAUCGAGCAGGGGGAAAAGGAGCAAUCCGCUUUGAGAUGGCCUCGCGUCCGAUUAGCUAGUUGGUGGGGUAACGGCCCACCAAGGCGACGAUCGGUAGCCGGACUGAGAGGUUGAACGGCCACAUUGGGACUGAGACACGGCCCAGACUCCUACGGGAGGCAGCAGUGGGGAAUAGUGCACAAUGGGGGAAACCCUGAUGCAGCGACGCCGCGUGGAGGAAGAAGGUCUUCGGAUUGUAAACUCCUGUUGUUCGGGAAGAUAAUGACGGUACCCAACAAGGAAGUGACGGCUAACUACGUG